CGCUGAGCUAGGAGGCUCUGAAGGAGCUACUCUGGAGAGAGGCUCAUAAGGAGCCGCUCCAAAGGAGCAGGCUCGGAACAGGUUCUGAGAGGCGCUAAGCAGACGAGCUCACAAGCGAGGAAACGGCAGGGUGCUUCUUCCAACGACUGGUUGUACGGACGGCUGACCAGGAAGAGCCAGACUAAGCAGCAAACCCACAGGAUUGCUGCAGGAAAAGCAGACACCGGACCGACAGCAGAGGAGUCCCCCUCAAAUGAACGCUCACCAGGUGGAGCAGCUCUGGAGAGGCUCCUGGCUCCAACGAAAGGACAGAACCAAAAAGACUCCGCCAACAUGCCUCCCCUUUUUUUUUUAAAUAAACUCUUUUUGCUCCCCUCUUGAA
This is a long non-coding RNA of Oryzias latipes (Japanese medaka), 382 nucleotides long. RefSeq lists it as uncharacterized. The record is from RefSeq and is a predicted model, not a curated record. Lineage: Eukaryota; Metazoa; Chordata; Actinopteri; Beloniformes; Adrianichthyidae.